Molecule: ribosomal RNA, 490 nt
Filed under: uncultured bacterium
Lineage: Bacteria
Description: partial 16S ribosomal RNA
Rfam family: Bacterial small subunit ribosomal RNA
Source: RNAcentral
AAUGAACGCUGGCGGCAUGCCUUACACAUGCAAGUCGAACGGCAGCAUGACCUAGCUUGCUAGGUUGAUGGCGAGUGGCGAACGGGUGAGUAAUGCAUCGGAACGUGCCUUUUAGUGGGGGAUAACGUAGCGAAAGUUACGCUAAUACCGCAUAUUCUCUGCGGAGGAAAGCAGGGGACCUUCGGGCCUUGCGCUAGAAGAGCGGCCGAUGUCGGAUUAGCUAGUUGGUGAGGUAAAGGCUCACCAAGGCAACGAGCCGUAGCGGGUGUGAGAGGAGGAUACGCCACACUGGGACGGAGACACGGCCCAGACUCCUACGGGAGGCAGCAGUGGGGAAUGUUGGACAAUGGGCGCAAGCCUGAUCCAGCCAUGCCGCGUGAGUGAAGAAGGCCUUCGGGUUGUAAAGCUCUUUCGGCUGGGAAGAAAUCGCACCCUCUAAUACAGGGUGUGGAUGACGGUACCAGCAUAAGAAGCACCGGCUAACUACGUG